RNAcentral lists this ribosomal RNA (848 nucleotides) under Microbacterium marinum. RNAcentral's name for it is "bacterial SSU rRNA". It matches the Rfam family "Bacterial small subunit ribosomal RNA", at positions 1 to 864 of the family's 1533-position model. Lineage: Bacteria; Bacillati; Actinomycetota; Actinomycetes; Micrococcales; Microbacteriaceae. The record is from RNAcentral.
UAGAGUUUGAUCCUGGCUCAGGAUGAACGCUGGCGGCGUGCUUAACACAUGCAAGUCGAACGGUGAAGCAGAGCUUGCUCUGUGGAUCAGUGGCGAACGGGUGAGUAACACGUGAGCAACCUGCCCCGGACUCUGGGAUAAGCGCUGGAAACGGCGUCUAAUACCGGAUACGAGAUUCCACCGCAUGGUGAGUUUCUGGAAAGAUUUUUUGGUCUGGGAUGGGCUCACGGCCUAUCAGCUUGUUGGUGAGGUAAUGGCUCACCAAGGCGUCGACGGGUAGCCGGCCUGAGAGGGUGACCGGCCACACUGGGACUGAGACACGGCCCAGACUCCUACGGGAGGCAGCAGUGGGGAAUAUUGCACAAUGGGCGGAAGCCUGAUGCAGCAACGCCGCGUGAGGGAUGAGCGGCCUUCGGGUUGUAAACCUCUUUUAGCAGGGAAGAAGCGAAAGUGACGGUACCUGCAGAAAAAGCGCCGGCUAACUACGUGCCAGCAGCCGCGGUAAUACGUAGGGCGCAAGCGUUAUCCGGAAUUAUUGGGCGUAAAGAGCUCGUAGGCGGUUUGUCGCGUCUGCUGUGAAAUCCCGAGGCUCAACCUCGGGUCUGCAGUGGGUACGGGCAGACUAGAGUGCGGUAGGGGAGAUUGGAAUUCCUGGUGUAGCGGUGGAAUGCGCAGAUAUCAGGAGGAACACCGAUGGCGAAGGCAGAUCUCUGGGCCGUUACUGACGCUGAGGAGCGAAAGGGUGGGGAGCAAACAGGCUUAGAUACCCUGGUAGUCCACCCCGUAAACGUUGGGAACUAGUUGUGGGGUCCAUUCCACGGAUUCCGUGACGCAGCUAACGCAUUAAG